Molecule: non-coding RNA, 388 nt
Organism: Drosophila melanogaster (fruit fly)
Lineage: Eukaryota; Metazoa; Arthropoda; Insecta; Diptera; Drosophilidae
Source: Ensembl
AGGCCAGAAGGAGCAAAAGGAUAACGAGAGCUUGGCAUGAGAUGUCAUUGCAAUGGCAAUUAAAAAUGGCGGGCUUUAAAUAUCACAUAAUCUGUUGAUAGUCGCUUAAGACACUAGAGAUGGUCGCGGGAACUCGGAAAAUGUCUGGGGAGCAAACUAAAGCCAUGGCAAGAAAUCCCAUAAAAGUGGAAAGCGAAAACGCGCAAGAGAAAUCCGUUUUGGGGACUGCGGAAUAUUUAUAAAAGAAUGAAUGGCAAAUGAGCAUAGACGGCGAUGCAGAUAAGAAUGAAAAACUAAGUGCAAAAAAGACUAAAGUACCACAAAGAGAAAAAGUUAGAAGUACAAAAAUGUAGCGGCGAUUUUGAGAUCCUCCGAGGACUUUUUAUUC